GAUGAACGCUGGCGGCGUGCCUAACACAUGCAAGUCGAACGGAGGCCAGCCUUUAAGACCUGCGGGUCAAAGAGGGGAAGACUGAGUGGCGGACGGGUGAGUAACACGUGGGCAACCAGGCUCAUAGAGGGGGAUAAAAGAGAGAAAACUCUGCUAAUACCGCAUAAGCACACACUGCCGCAUGGCAGCGGGGGAAAAGAGAAGCGCGAUGAGAUGGACCCGCGUCUGAUAAGCCAGCUGGCAGGGCAAGAGCCGACCAAAGCGACGCUCAGAAGCCGGAACCGGAGGCUGAGCCGCCACUUCGGGACUGGGACACGGCCCAGACUCCUACACGAGGCAGCAGUGGGGGAUAUUGCACUAUGGGGGGAACCCUGAUGCUGCGCCGCCGCGUGAGCGACUAAGUUUUUCAGUAUGGACAGCUCUAUCAGCAGGGACGAUAAUGACGGUACCUGAAUAAUAAGCCCCGGCUAACUACGUG
This 478-nucleotide ribosomal RNA is filed under the name uncultured bacterium. Its description in RNAcentral is "partial 16S ribosomal RNA". It matches the Rfam family "Bacterial small subunit ribosomal RNA", at positions 28 to 507 of the family's 1533-position model. The record is from RNAcentral.